Molecule: long non-coding RNA, 1849 nt
Organism: Lampris incognitus (smalleye Pacific opah)
Lineage: Eukaryota; Metazoa; Chordata; Actinopteri; Lampriformes; Lampridae
Exons: 3
Source: RefSeq, a predicted model, not a curated record
AUCACAGACAACACAGGGUGUGCUCAAAGCACUUCACCGAGGACUGUUUUCGCAAGACGUUUCUUGGGCUGACAAAACUGAAACCCGGAACUCUACCGACCAUUUUCCCAUGGUCAAAUCAACCUACGCCGAGGAGGGUUCCUGUUCGUGGUGGUCAACCUGCUGGGGAGGUGACACCCGAGUCAGCAGAUGAUCGCAUUGGUGACUUAAUAGCGGAAGAAGCUGAAGAGGAACAUGAAGAGGAACAUGAGGGAGAUAGAUGAGUUGUUACUGACAGUACAAUACAAUUUUUCAAACAUGUAGAUUACUGCAUUGUAUAAUAUAUAUAUAUUCACUAAUCUUUCGAUAGUGGAUAGCUCUGUUCUGACACAUCAUCUUGAUAACAGGAAAAUGUGUGGAUUUAUAUUGCUUCGCACAUGUAUGACAUAUCCUCAUGUGUCCAGUGAGGUUUGGGUGACUACCUGAUCAUGACUACGACGUGAAGCCCCUUUCUGUGGAAGACCAGCUUGACGCAGUAAAGAAACGCAUCGCUUUCCUGGAGGAUGAAAAUAAAAGCUGAAAAGUGAGCGUUUUGGUCUAGAACGCUUCCAGUGUGCGCCCAAUCUGAUCAGGUUUUACACUGGUUUUAAGGAUUACCACACCCUCAAAGCACUCUUCCUAGCUUUACAGCCUACUGCAGAGUCCACGGUGCGAUGGAUUCAAAUGCAAAGGAACAGCCAUAACCUAGAACACAUUUCUGUGUCUGGCUUCCAUGCAGAGCAUUUAUCACCGAUUGAUCCGUUUUUCCUGUUCUUGUGCCGUGUGAGGCAGGGCUUUUUUGCUCUGGAUUUAUCUGUACGAUUCAAUGUGUCGCCGGCCAGAGUCAGCAGGAACUGUACGACGUGGGCCAACUAUUUGCUCUUUAUGUUAGGGACCCUCCCAAUAUGGCCUAGUAGAGCAGCAGUAGACGAGCUAAUGCCACCAGUAUUCAGGGAAUUCUACCCAAACACAAGAGUGAUACUAGACUGCACAGAGAUCCGCAUCGAGACAGCUAGUUCGAAGGUUUUGAACACCAUGACAUACUCCCAUUAUAAAAGUAACACUACACUGAAAUCCCUAAUUGGGAUCACUCCCUCAGGGCCAGUUAGCCUGGUAAGUAAUCUAUACACAGGAUGUAUUUCUGAUAAGGAGAUAACUAAGAGGUCAGGUGUUCUGGACCUCUUAGAGUCAGGUGAUGAGGUCAUGGCCGAUAAGGGCUUCCUUAUCAAAGACCUGCUCGAUGAAAUAGAUGUAAAACUUGUCAUCCCUGCAUUUUUAGGCCCAAGUGGACAGUUUAGCUGUGAUGAGCUCACAGACACACAGAGUAUUGCUGGCUUGAGAAUACACGUCGAACGGUCAAUAAGACGCAUAAAGGAGUACCACAUUUUUGAUGGAGUCAUACCCCUUUCACUAAGUGGAACAGUCAACCAACUGUGGACUGUGUGUGCUCUCCUAACAAAUUUUCAGGGACCACUGUUUUAAACCUUUGCUAAAUUCAGCUGACAAGAAAAUAGUGCACACAAACCUUAGAUAGAUUGAAACAUAUUUAACUUCAUUUCAGUACAGUCCCAUUUUUUAGCCCAUACCUUGAGAUGAGCAAUCACUAUCUUAGUUAAGUAAACAAUUGAUGUUUGAGUUGGUAGCGAGUUCCAGUUUAUUGCUACAACAGAAUGACAGUUGACCGACCAUAUUUUAGUUUAAAAUGAACCAACAGUUUUGUUAAAGUUAAAGGACAAAGAAUGAAAAUAUUGUAGAUGGGACAAUCUAAUGUAUAAAUAUUGAAUGUACAGUAUAAAAAUGAAAUGUAUCUUAUUUUUAUUUUAUUGUGAUU